This 73-nucleotide transfer RNA is filed under the name Trichochrysea japana. RNAcentral describes it as "tRNA-Val". The record is from RNAcentral. Lineage: Eukaryota; Metazoa; Arthropoda; Insecta; Coleoptera; Chrysomelidae.
CAGAUUAGAGCUUGAGGAAAUUUUAUAAAGCGUUUUAUUUACACUAAAAAGAUAAUAUGUUAAUUUAAUCUGA